This 521-nucleotide ribosomal RNA is filed under the name uncultured bacterium. RNAcentral's name for it is "bacterial SSU rRNA". It matches the Rfam family "Bacterial small subunit ribosomal RNA", at positions 988 to 1509 of the family's 1533-position model. The record is from RNAcentral.
CCAGAGAACUUAGCAGAGAUGCUUUGGUGCCUUCGGGAACUCUGAGACAGGUGCUGCAUGGCUGUCGUCAGCUCGUGUUGUGAAAUGUUGGGUUAAGUCCCGCAACGAGCGCAACCCUUAUCCUUUGUUGCCAGCGGCUCGGCCGGGAACUCAAAGGAGACUGCCGGUGAUAAACCGGAGGAAGGUGGGGAUGACGUCAAGUCAUCAUGGCCCUUACGGCCAGGGCUACACACGUGCUACAAUGGCGCAUACAAAGAGAAGCGACCUCGCGAGAGCAAGCGGACCUCAUAAAGUGCGUCGUAGUCCGGAUUGGAGUCUGCAACUCGACUCCAUGAAGUCGGAAUCGCUAGUAAUCGUAGAUCAGAAUGCUACGGUGAAUACGUUCCCGGGCCUUGUACACACCGCCCGUCACACCAUGGGAGUGGGUUGCAAAAGAAGUAGGUAGCUUAACCUUCGGGAGGGCGCUUACCACUUUGUGAUCCAUGACUGGGGUGAAGUCGUAACAAGGUAGGCGUAGCGAG